RNA transcript from Parus major (Great Tit), 2473 nucleotides. It is a transcript of the gene named tetratricopeptide repeat domain 4, with no coding region annotated. The transcript has 10 exons. Lineage: Eukaryota; Metazoa; Chordata; Aves; Passeriformes; Paridae. The record is from RefSeq and is a predicted model, not a curated record.
CGAUGCCGGGGCCCAUGGGAAGGAGCGGGGCCGGGCCUGAGGCGGCGGGGGCGGUCUCGGGCGGGGCCGGGCAGCAGCAGCAGCGGGAGCAUGGCGGAGGCCGAGCAGGACGGCGUGUCCGGAGCCCCGGAGCCGCCGCGGUACCGGGGAGCGCUGCACCCCGACACGUGGGAGCAGGUGAGGCGGCGGGGCCGGGCGCGGGGCCGGGCGGGCCGAGCCGAGGGCGCUGUGCGUGUCCGUGUGUCCGUCCGCAGGAGCUGGAGGCCAUCCCCAUGUUCAUGAAGCGCUGCCCGGCCGAGAUCGAUGCGGCUCGGCAGCCCGAGCUCGCCUGCCUGCAGUCGCUGCUGUUCGACGAGGAGCGGAGCCCCGCAGAGCUGGCCCUGAUGUACAAGAACGAAGGGAACGAGUACUUCAAGGAGAAGGACUACGGCAGAGCGGUGGCCGCCUACUCGGAGGGGCUGCGGAGACGCUGCGGGGACGCGGAGCUGGACGCGGUGCUGCUCACCAACCGAGGGGCUGCACAUUUCCACCUGGGUAAUUACCGUUCUGCUCUAAAUGACGCCAUCCAAGCCAAAAAGCUGAAGCCCACCCAUCUCAAAGCCAUCAUAAGAGGAGCUCUCUGUCACAUGGAGCUAAAGAAUUUCCUGGAAGCAAUAGAAUGGUGUGAGGAAGGCUUGCAAAUUGACCCAAAAGAGAAAAAGUUUGUGGAAAUGAGAGCUAAAGCUGACAAAUUGAAGCGAAUUCAGGAGCGGGAUGCCAGGAAAGCAAAGGUGAUGGAGAGGAAAGAGCAGUGUCAGAAGGAAAUUUUGCUUGCAGCAAUAAAGGAAAGAAAUAUCAAGCUGGCUCUUGAGCCUUCAGAUGAAGAAGAGGAAGUGUCAGAUGGCCUGGCUGAGAUAUCCUUAGAUGGGUUCCACUCUGACAGUGCCACAGGGGCAAAAGUGCACUUGGAUGCCGAUGGCAGCCUGAACUGGCCUGUCCUCUUCCUGUACCCUGAGCACGAGCAGACAGAUUUCACUGUGGCUUUCCAUGAGAAUUCCAGGUUUAUUGAUCAUUUAAUGGUGAUGUUUGCUGAGUUACCUCCUUGGGAUUUAGAGAAAAAAUACCUUCCCAACAAUCUUGAGCUCUAUUUUGAGGAUGAGGAAAGAGAAGAAAUGUAUGAGGUGAACCCAGAACACACAUUGCUACAAGUGCUGCAGCAUGAAAGGACUGGAUGGAGAUGGGAAAGGGAGCUGGGCACAGCUGAGCAGCACAGAAGGGCUAUUCCAGAUCCCAUCUACACAGUACUACUUUAAAAAAGAAAAACAAAAAGAAAAACAGGCAGCAGCCGCUCAAGAGCGUGUUGAAGGUUAACAAUGCUCUCGCUGUUCACACUGCUGCGUGAGCAGCCCCUGGCACAGCACGCAGCUCUGUGCUGCUCUGAAACUGCCUUUAAAGAGUUCUGCUUUUACUGAGAGAGAAGAAUUUGCUGUUUGUGAAGCCAGAAGAUUCCUGUGCAGCCUGUGCUGUUGAGUUGCACCAUCUCAUAGCUGUCUGGAGCUGCUGCACAGCACGGGGGGCUCGGUCUGUCGCAGUGGGAGCGGGAUCUCCGCCACUCCAUAAAACUCAGCAGUGUCCAUAAGCCCUCAGAUUUCAGGCUGUAAGGGCAGUUGCACAAGAACCCUCCUUCCAGAGGGAGAGUAACAGCUGCCUUAAUUAAAAGAAGCUGUUGGGAGACGAGUUGAUUCAUAAAACACUCCUCCUCAGAUGUGCUUAGCCCUGGCUCCAAGAGGCUCUGCUAAUCAGCAUGAAAGCUCGUCACCAGCCUUUGGGAGGUAUUUUGUAAAGGCCGGGACCCCAACAGUUUUGGUAUUUGCCAAGCGUUCUCCUUUCUCUAAGAAAUACUUCUCUGGCAAGAAAGUGCAUCGACUGUAAUGAGCAAGAAUGAAACAAGGAAUCCUGUGCAGGAGGCUGCUGCUGGUUAGCCCAGCUCCAGGCUGCAGAUUUCUGCUUGAACAAAAAUACCUUGCACUCUUCAGGGGAGGAAAAUAAUCUUGGCACACAGGGAAACUUCCAGGGGAGCAGCACAGGAGAAGGAAGGGCUAACAUGAGGGGAUAAUUUGUUUAAAAGGGAACCCAGCUGGCUUGCAGAAGGUCUCCUCUAUGAUAGGCUGCAUGUGGUUUUGAAAUAAACCUGAAGCAGUGCCAAACACUGGCUGGGGUUGCAGUAACAGCAGCUGGGAAUGUACCUCCUUACCUGAGAAGAAUCACAGAUUUCCUCGGAGGUGGGCUGUCGCUGCUGGGGUUUAACAGUGGUGGCCUGGGGUGAUCCCUGCCUGUUGCAGUGAGGUGGAUGCAGUCAGGGUCCUGUUGGCUGUGCUGCUGGCCUGGGUACAGCAGUGCUCUUUGUUUGGAGCAGUGUUUGACUGACCCUUUUUAUACCUUCCUGAGUGUCCUACAGAACCUGGAAUAAACAUGGCUAUUUUAAGCAGACUGA